This 263-nucleotide ribosomal RNA is filed under the name uncultured bacterium. RNAcentral's name for it is "partial 16S ribosomal RNA". It matches the Rfam family "Bacterial small subunit ribosomal RNA", at positions 524 to 786 of the family's 1533-position model. The record is from RNAcentral.
AACGUAGGGGGCCAGCGUUGUCCGGAUUUACUGGGCGUAAAGAGCGCGUAGGCGGCUUAGUAAGCGGAAGGUGUAAUCCCGAGGCUCAACCUCGGAACUGCCCUCCGAACUGCUAGGCUUGAGUACGGGAGAGGAUAGUGGAAUUCCUGGUGUAGCGGUGGAAUGCGUAAAUAUCAGGAGGAACACCGGUGGCGAAGGCUGCUAUCUGGAACGUAACUGACGCUGAGGCGCGAAAGCUAGGGUAGCGAACGGGAUUAGAUACC